This 154-nucleotide unclassified non-coding RNA is filed under the name uncultured Tulasnellaceae. Its description in RNAcentral is "sequence contains ITS1". The record is from RNAcentral. Lineage: Eukaryota; Fungi; Basidiomycota; Agaricomycetes; Cantharellales; Tulasnellaceae.
UUGAGUUUGCACGGUUGUUGCUGGUUAUUACAAGUGCACACCGUGUCUUUCUUUAUCCACCCCAUUGUGCAUCUCGGUACGCCUUUGCGCGUAGUCCUUUUAUAUCGUACACCUUUGUAAUGUUUAAAGAACGUGCUCGUAAUAAACAAUAGUA